UUCACUGUAUGGCGUGCUCGUUUGGGUUGGGCGUCGGCUAAGAGUGCUCGGAGCGUGGAUUAACUCCAGUCUCCUAUCAGGUGUGUAUUUUCUCGCUACUCUAGUUGUAGGAUGGCUACUUCGGGCCGCGAUGGGCCGAAAUGGGUUAUGUGGGCCUAAUGGGCCUACAGGCCCAACUGGAUAAGUUGUUUGAUUGUGUAGUAAAUAUUGGACUAGACUAGGUGAAUCUUGUAACACCCCGUACCCGAGUCCGUCGCCGGAGUCGGACACGAGGGGUUUGCAGACUUAAAUCACUUCUUUGCACAAUCCAUUUUAAUUUUUCCAGGCAAGCUGGCUAACUGCGUCACUGUUACCUUAAAAAUCAUAUCUUGAGUUUCACAACUCGAAAAUCAGUUUCGUGAUUUUUCCCUGAAACUAGACUCAUAUAUGCAUCUACAUAUUUUUUUCUAGAAUUUUUGGUCAGGCCAAUUAGUACAGUUUAUUAGUCAAAGUCUCCCAUGUUACAGGGAUCAACUACACUGACCUUUGCGCAUUACGACUUGGAUAUCUCCCUGUACAGGGCUUCAAUACUGAUGCCAUUUCUUUCUAUAGAAGGUAGACUCAAAAAGGAAUCUAUACAUAUAUGGCAUGACUUCUAAAUGUCUCUGGUUAAUUUAUAAUGAAUUUCCAAAGUCAGAUCAGGGGAUCCAGAAACCGUUCUGGCCCUGUCUCACGAAAACUUUAACAUCUCAUAAUAUACUGUUCAUAUGAAUGUUUCGUUACUUUCCUAUGAAAAUAGAUUCAUCAAGGUUCGAUUAAAUAAUUUAUUCACUAUUUAACCUACUAUUUUUACUGAUUUUUCACAUCCACAUCACUGCUUCUGCCAGCAUCUAUUUUUAAGGUAAACUUUACCUAUUUCAUGAUCCUCCAUGGAUCAACUAGAGUUUGUCAUACAUAUUCCAAAAAUGAUCAUGAAUAACCAUUCCCAUGGCUAACCGUUACCAACAUUUCCAUACCUCUCAACGGACAACAUACAAAACGAUUAUAAAGCUAUGAUCAAAGUAUAUUUAAGCCAUUUUCGCAUGGCUAUCCAAAUUUACACAAAACCGAAGGGUACAUGACCAACAACAAAAGGGUAGUCCUAUACAUGCCAUUUCAAAGUUCAACCAAAAGUAUACCAAAAGGAGCUUUGAUAGUGUGGGCGACUUCGACUUCAAAAUCCCGAGUCCGAUAGCUGAAGAACCAAAAUCUAUAAAAUAGAGAAUCAAAGAAACGGAGUAAGCAUUAAAUGCUUAGUAAGUUUUGAGCAAAGAAUUUAGACACAACCAAAGUAUAGCAUUCAUGUAGCUAAACGGAUAAUUUCAUAUGCACAAAUUUUCAAUAUCAUACUUACUUCACAUUACCAACCCUUUUAUUCAUACACAAAGAUCAACUUAGCCAAAGGCCGGUAGCUCAUUUAUCAACUGAGCGAAUACUUAUUUGUAAGGGCUCAACUAAUUCAAAGCACAUACGAAACAUACCUCAAUGUUGGGAUGUUACAAGCGUAUUAACUGAAAUUUUUACAGCAAGAUCAUUCAUUCCCAAAUCACGUACCUUCGAAAUUUAACCGGAUAUAGCUACUCGUUCAAAUGCCUUCGGGAUAUAGCCCGGUUAUAGUAACUCGCACAAAUGCCUUCGGGACUUAACCCGGAUUUAGUAACUCGCACCAAUGCCUUCAGGCUUAGCCCGGAAUUAGUAUCUCACACAAAUGCCUUCGGAUCUUAGUCCGGAUAUGGUCACUUAGCACAAAGCCUUCGGGACUUAGCCCGGACAUCAUUCGAAUAACCAUGUACAUUUAACAAUAAAUCAUGACACAUUCGUAUUUCAUUUUCAUUAGCAAAACUCAAACACAAGACACUUAUCACUCUUGCAAUUUCGGCUCAAUAGCCACACACAAAGAGCAUGAUUUUGAUUUGCUUAAAACAUGAUCUAAUCAAAUCAUAAUUUAAGCUCUAUUACUUAAGAACUUACCUCGGAUGUGGUCGAACGUUUUCAGCGGCUAUUCGAUAACUUUUUCCUUUCCCUUAUCCAACUGUGGUCCUCUAAGCUCUUGAGCUAAUUCAAACAAAUUUAACUUAUUAAAGUCUCAUUAUGCUAGCUUAUGGCCGAAUAUGACAAGGAGUUUGAUUGGUCAUAUGGCCACCUUCUAGCUCAACUACACAAUGGUCAUAUGCAUUUUUAAUCAUAUCAAGCAAUUUAAUACAAUUCAUUCGAACAUCAAAAGAAAACCUCAAGGUACUUAGCCCAUAUAUACUUUAGGCAUUAGAGUCACAUAUAUAUAUGGAAUCAUGAAUCAAACUCAACAUUUUAGCUAAUAUUCCCCCUUGGCCGAAUUUUCUAAGCCAAGACAAAAGCAUCAAUAUGCUUGCCUCUAACCAAAUACAUGCAACACCAAUCUUCUUCCUAUGGUCGAAUAUGCAUGUCUAUGUUGAGGCCGAUUAUAUACUUAAUACCACACAUAAAUGGCAUACAUUUUACUAACUAAUGCAUUACAUAUUAUAACUCAAUACGCAUCCAUCAUUUAAUCCAUAACCGAAGCACCAUCAUGUGUAAGUAUAUACCUUGAGAUAAUAUGUAGGUCAUACCAAUACAUCAUGUGCAAUCAUAUAUAUAUGUGCAAGAGCCGAAUCACAAAUUUGAUUAUAACCAAAUUUAAACAUAUAUCCAAAACAUAAAUCUUACCUACCAUGCAAUAAGCAUAAAUCACACUUAUGGAUAUACCAUGGCCGAUACUUCCAACAACACCAAAUAAAAAUAUACUUCAUGGAUCUAAGGUAGAACCAAGAAAGAAACUCAUAAUCAUCAAGAUGUAAGCAACUACCAUUGUUCAUCUAGAUUUAGCAUGAAACACAACCAUCACCCUUAUUAAUCUCCAUAGCCGAAAACCUUACUUAUUCCAAAAUCACAAUUUCAACAUGGGUUACCAACAAUAACUUGAUAUCUCACUCAAAAUCAACUAGGAUUUCAAGAACUAGUAUCAACUUCCUUACCUUAAUAUCGACCUAAGAUGACCGAUUGCUUCACUCCGUCCUUCCUCCUCUCAAUCUGGCCAAGAAGAACCAAAGAACACAACUUGUUUCCUUUCUUCCUUAGAACAUUCGGCCAAGAGAAAUGAAAAAAAAGAUGGACACUUUUUUUUUGUUUUCUUUCUUACAUUCACGGCAAUGGGGAGGGGGAGAAACAAUCACACACCUUCUUUCUUUUUUCCAUUUCUUUAUUACUAACUUUAUUUUAUUGUUUCCUCCCAUGAUGCACCAACACAACAUGUCUAUGACAUGUUUUGCCCAUCACCCUUUGUCCAUCCUAAUGUCAUGGCCGGCCACUACUAGAUGGGGGGAAAAAUUGACAUGCAAGUCCCCCCUUUUUCAACAUACACUAAUAGGUCCUUAUGUUUUGAUCUAUCACAUUUCAAAAAUGUCACACAUAAGUCCUAUUGACUAAAUUCACGUACAAUUUACUAAAUCGAAGCUUAAAAUUUUCACACAUUUAUUUUAGACAAUAAAUAUCAUAUUCAAAUAAUUUGGUGACUCGGUUUAGCGGUCCCGAAACCGCUUUCCUACUAGGGUCGCUUUAGGGCUGUCGCAAAUCUCAUAUUUAUGGCUAGAUUUGGGCUAAAAGUGCCACAGCAGCGUGUGGAACCAUUUGGGUCGAGAAUAGGAUUUAGGCCCAUUCGUAUUGUUAUCCCUGUUUAGAAUACUUUAGUUUACCAAAUUACUGAAAUGCCCUCAUUUUGUAAAAUUACCAAAGUACCCUCGGUUUACAAAAUUACCAUUUUACCCUCGAUUUACAGAAUUACCAUUUUACUCUCAAUUUAUAGAAUUACUGUUUUACCCUCGAUCUAUAGAAUUACCAUUUUACCCUCGAUUUAUAGAAUUACCGUUUUACCCUCGAUUUACAAAAUUACCAUUUUACCCUCAGUUUACAAAUUUACCAUUUUACCCUCGAUUGUGAAAUUACUGAAAUACCCCUGUAGGAUAGAAUUACCGAAAUACCCUCAAUUUGUAAAAUUACCAAAAUACCCCUGAUUUACAAAAUUACAGAAAUACCAUUGACUUUCUAAAACUUAUAAAAAUACCAUUGGUUUAUAAAAUUUUUGAACUACCCUUGGUUUGUAGAUUUACCAAAACACCCUUGUAGGAUGAAAUGAUUAAAAUACCCCUAAUAGGUAAAAAGACCGUAAAGCCCCUGUAGGGGAAAGUGACCGUAAUACCCUUGUAUGGUAAAAUGACGAAUAUGCCCUUAUGUUUCAUAUGACUGAUGUGCUUAGGAUUUACAUAUAUUGAUAUUGGAUUAGUUAGUUUGAGUGACAGGUGGCGGUUAUCGUAAGUGAUUGAUUAUGGAAACAUUUCAACUUCAACCCGUAACAGGUGUGUACUAACCCUCGUAAUAGCUUAGAUUAAUAUUUGCUGAGAAGCCGAAAUGCUAAAAUACCGGUAUUUCGGGAAUUUGUAAUGUUGCGUUUGGGUAUAGAUGCGAUAAAUACGAUAAGAUCAGUGUUUGGAUUGAUGGAACAUGUAAGAACUCAAUUUUUUGCACUAUGGUAAGUUGGGCCUCAAUGGGCUGGAAUCGGGCCCAAUGGGCUUCGGGCUCGUUUGGGUAAAACUGAUAGAAAAUGGAAUCUGGACAAGUUGCAAGUUAACACGGUUAGUACUGUUGUAAAAUUUGGAUUAUGUGGGCUUAAUGGGCUAAAUCGGCAUUUGUAGGGCCCAUUAGAGGUUUUGGGCCCAAAAGCCCGAGUUUGAUAAAGUGGGUUAAAGAUCAUUGUUUAAACACUCGAAAAUAUUGAUAAUUGUUAAUGAACAUGGAAACCCUGAUUUUUGGUAAAAUUACAAAAAUACCCUUAGAAUAUGAAAAAUGACUAUUUUGCCCUUGUGGGCAAGUGACUGACUUGGACUGUGUGGUUGACGGAUUUGAUUGUGAAUAUAUAUUGGUGAUAUGAAUGACUUGACUGUGAUUGUUUAAUUCAAAUAUGGGCAUGACAUUCUCCAUACAUGACAUAUUGCAUGGGAUAUGGGUUAUAUUGAUGGAGGAAGUGCUAAAAGGGCUCUGCCCCAGUUCACCGAAAGGGCUUUGCCCCAGUUUAUCAGAAAAGGCUUUGCCCCAGUUAUUAAAAGAGGCUAGGCCUCUAGUUAUAUGAUAAAGUAGCUAUGCUGCCAGUGGAGAGUUUGGUUAGGUGGGUUGAGUUAUUCCCCACAUGGAGAGCUUGGUUGGUACGGAUGGAGAGUAGCGGAUGGUGGGUCGAGUAGUCUCCCCAAAUGGGCUUGCAUACAUUCAUUGACAUUACAUGUGAUAUUGAAAUGGGCUUGCAUACAUUCAUUGACAUUACAUGUGAUAUUGAAAUGGGCUUGCAUACAUCCAUUGACAUUACAUGUGAUAUUGAAAUGGGCUUAAGGGCCAUACCGUUUACAAUUAAGGCUUCGGCCCAGUGAUAUGAUUUAUGGAAAGGCUUCGGCCCAGUAUAUGUCAAGACUAAAUAGAGCUUUGGCCCAGAUUGUACUAAUACCGUGUUAUUUACUGUUUGUUUGUUAUUGGGAUUACACACUAAGUUUUCGUAAACUCACCCCGUUUCUAACUGUGCAGGUAAUCCCUAAGCUUAGAUGGUUUGGAGCUGCGAGGGACUCGGAGAUGGCCACACUACUAUUUUUGUUUCUUUUAAUUGCAAUAAGUAGCUGAUUUAUUUCUUUAUAAGUUUUAUCUUAUUAAUAUUAUUAUUUGGUUUUGGG
Molecule: long non-coding RNA, 5741 nt
Filed under: Gossypium barbadense (sea-island cotton)
Lineage: Eukaryota; Viridiplantae; Streptophyta; Magnoliopsida; Malvales; Malvaceae
Description: long non-coding RNA (GBAR_LNC005479)
Source: RNAcentral